UUUUUUGAUAAUCAAAAAAUUGAAUUAUAAGGAGUACAAGGGGUACUCAUCCCUUACAAUUCAAAUAAAAUCACCCUGGACAGACUAAAGGAUUGUUACACCAGUCAAAAAAUGCUAAAUUAGCAUUAUUCCCUAAUCGGCCUAAAAACCAAAACCAAUAAAUGUAAAUAAUUUUGUUCACUAAAGAAGAUACAUUAACCCAAUCUCCUCUAAAUACAAUAUUAUUUCGAAAGCACCCAGUUAACAUCUUUGUGCCCCCCAUAGGUUGUUAAUGAGAAAAUCAUCGCUUUCUUUGUUUCUUGAAGUAAACAAACAUCGAAAACACCUUUUUGAAGAAACGAACUCAACUGCCGCUGUUUAGCACUUUCACCCCACCCUCUCAUAUUCAAAGAGACGAUCUUCAUUGAUGGAGAGAUUGUUGUUGCUCCCUUCUAAAU
RNAcentral lists this long non-coding RNA (437 nucleotides) under Trifolium pratense (red clover). RNAcentral describes it as "long non-coding RNA (TPRA_LNC011075)". Lineage: Eukaryota; Viridiplantae; Streptophyta; Magnoliopsida; Fabales; Fabaceae. The record is from RNAcentral.